AAUAGAUACCCUGGUAGUCCACGCCGUAAACGAUGAGUGCUAAGUGUUAGAGGGUUUCCGCCCUUUAGUGCUGCAGCAAACGCAUUAAGCACUCCGCCUGGGUAGUACGGUCGCAAGACUGAAACUCAAAGGAAUUGACGGGGGCCCGCACAAGCGGUGGAGCAUGUGGUUUAAUUCGAAGCAACGCGAAGAACCUUACCAGGUCUUGACAUCCCGUGACAACUCUAGAGAUAGGGCUUUCCCCUUCGGGGGACACGGUGACAGGUGGUGCAUGGUUGUCGUCAGCUCGUGUCGUGAGAUGUUGGGUUAAGUCCCGCAACGAGCGCAACCCUUGAUCUUAGUUGCCAGCAUUCAGUUGGGCACUCUAAGGUGACUGCCGGUGACAAACCGGAGGAAGGUGGGGAUGACGUCAAAUCAUCAUGCCCCUUAUGACCUGGGCUACACACGUGCUACAAUGGAUGGUACAAAGGGCAGCGAAACCGCGAGGUUAAGCCAAUCCCAUAAAACCAUUCUCAGUUCGGAUUGCAGGCUGCAAC
RNAcentral lists this ribosomal RNA (536 nucleotides) under uncultured bacterium. RNAcentral describes it as "bacterial SSU rRNA". It matches the Rfam family "Bacterial small subunit ribosomal RNA", at positions 777 to 1311 of the family's 1533-position model. The record is from RNAcentral.